This 149-nucleotide unclassified non-coding RNA is filed under the name uncultured Toxicocladosporium. RNAcentral describes it as "sequence contains ITS2". Lineage: Eukaryota; Fungi; Ascomycota; Dothideomycetes; Capnodiales. The record is from RNAcentral.
CACCACUCAAGCCUCGCUUGGUAUUGGGCGACGCGGUCCGCCGCGCGCCUCAAAUCGACCGGCUGGGUCGAUCGCACCCUCAGCGUUGUGGAAACUAUUCGCUAAAGGAGUUGUGGUCGGUCACGCCGUGAAACAAACCAAUUUUCAAU